GCGGGGGUGGCCGAGUGGUCAAAGGCGCAAGAUCCAUGACCUUGUGGGCGUAGGCCCUUCGCCGGUUCGAAUCCGGCCCCCCGCA
This is a transfer RNA of 85 nucleotides. It matches the Rfam family "tRNA". From Rfam's summary of the family: Transfer RNA (tRNA) molecules are approximately 80 nucleotides in length.